RNAcentral lists this ribosomal RNA (404 nucleotides) under Fusobacteriota bacterium. Its description in RNAcentral is "Fusobacteria bacterium partial 16S ribosomal RNA". It matches the Rfam family "Bacterial small subunit ribosomal RNA", at positions 355 to 776 of the family's 1533-position model. The record is from RNAcentral. Lineage: Bacteria; Fusobacteriati; Fusobacteriota.
UGGGGAAUAUUGCACAAUGGAGGGAACUCUGAUGCAGCGACGCCGCGUGAGUGAUGAAGGAAUUCGUUUCGUAAAACUCUGUUCUAUGGGAAGAAAAGGACUGUACCAUAGGAGAAAGCUCCGGCUAAAUACGUGCCAGCAGCCGCGGUAAUACGUAUGGAGCGAGCGUUGUCCGGAAUUAUUGGGCGUAAAGGGUGCGCAGGCGGCUUUACAAGUUGGAUGUGAAAUAUUGUGGCUCAACCACAAACGUGCAUCCAAAACUGCAAAGCUUGAGUUAAGGAGAGGUAAGUGGAAUUCCUGGUGUAGCGGUGGAAUGCGUAGAUAUCAGGAGGAAUACCGGUGGCGAAGGCGACUUACUGGACUUAAACUGACGCCCAGGCACGAAAGCGUGGGGAGCAAACAGG